CGUGGAGACAGGUGGUGCAUGGCUGUCGUCAGCUCGUGUCGUGAGAUGUUGGGUUAAGUCCCGCAACGAGCGCAACCCUCACCCCUAGUUGCGACCGGGUUAUGCCGAGCACUCGAGGGGAACUGCCAGCGUCAAGCUGGAGGAAGGCGGGGAUGACGUCAAGUCAUCAUGCCCCUUACGCCCUGGGCUACACACGUGCUACAAUGGCCAGUACAAAGGGAUGCGAGACUGCGAAGUGGAGCUAAUCCCAAAAAGCUGGUCUAAGUUCAGAUUGCAGUCUGCAACUCGACUGCAUGAAGGAGGAAUCGCUAGUAAUCGCGCAUCAGCACGGCGCGGUGAAUACGUUCCCGGGCCUCGUACACACCGCCCGUCACACCACGAAAGCUGUCUGUACUCGAAGUCGCUGAG
RNAcentral lists this ribosomal RNA (408 nucleotides) under uncultured Methylomirabilota bacterium. RNAcentral describes it as "bacterial SSU rRNA". It matches the Rfam family "Bacterial small subunit ribosomal RNA", at positions 1027 to 1434 of the family's 1533-position model. Lineage: Bacteria; Methylomirabilota (SeqCode). The record is from RNAcentral.